This 471-nucleotide ribosomal RNA is filed under the name uncultured Methanosaeta sp. RNAcentral's name for it is "bacterial SSU rRNA". It matches the Rfam family "Archaeal small subunit ribosomal RNA", at positions 871 to 1337 of the family's 1478-position model. Lineage: Archaea; Methanobacteriati; Methanobacteriota; Methanomicrobia; Methanotrichales; Methanotrichaceae. The record is from RNAcentral.
UUGACGGGGAGCACCACAACGGGUGGAGCUUGCGGUUUAAUUGGAUUCAACGCCGGAAUCUUACCGGACCGACAGCAAUAUGAAGGCCAGGCUGAAGACUUUGCCGGAUUAGCUGAGAGGUGGUGCACGGCCGUCGUCAGUUCGUACUGUGAAGCAUCCUGUUAAGUCAGGCAACGAGCGAGACCCACGCCCACAGUUGCCAGCGUACUCUCUGGAGUGACGGGUACACUGUGGGGACCGCCGCUGCUAAAGCGGAGGAAGGAAUGGGCAACGGUAGGUCAGUAUGCCCCGAAUAUCCCGGGCUACACGCGAGCUACAAUGGUUGGUACAAUGGGUAUCUACCCCGAAAGGGGACGGGAAUCUCCUAAAACCAAUCUUAGUUCGGAUUGAGGGCUGCAACUCGCCCUCAUGAAGCUGGAAUCCGUAGUAAUCGUGUCUCAAAAUGGCACGGUGAAUAUGUCCCUGCUCCUU